CGGGCUCUGAGAGGAGGGGCCCGGAGAUGGGUACUGAGACACGGACCCAGGCCCUAUGGGGCGCAGCAGGCGAGAAACCUUUGCAAUGUGCGAAAGCACGACAAGGUNAAUCCGAGUGUCUCCUGCUAAAGGAGUCUUUUGUCAGUUGUAGAAUCACUGGUGAAUAAGGGGUGGGCAAGUUCUGGUGUCAGCCGCCGCGGUAAAACCAGCACCUCGAGUGGUCAGGAGGUUUAUUGGGCCUAAAGCAUCCGUAGCCGGUUGCAUAAGUUUUCGGUUAAAUCUAUGCGCUUAACGUAUAGGCCGCCGAAAAUACUGUGCAGCUAGGGAGUGGGAGAGGUACACGGUACUCGAUAGGAAGGGGUAAAAUCCUUUGAUCUAUUGAAGACCACCUGUGGCGAAGGCGGUGUACCAGAACACGUUCGACGGUGAGGGAUGAAAGCUGGGGGAGCAAACCGGAUUAGAUACCCGGGUAGUCCCAGCUGUAAACGAUGCAGACUCGGUGAUGCAUUGGCUUGUGGCCAAUGCAGUGCCGCAGGGAAGCCGUUAAGUCUGCCGCCUGGGAAGUACGUACGCAAGUAUGAACUUAAAGGAAUUGGCGGGGGAGCACCACAAGGGGUGAAGCUGCGGUUCAAUUGGAGUCACGCCG
This 646-nucleotide ribosomal RNA is filed under the name uncultured archaeon. Its description in RNAcentral is "bacterial SSU rRNA". It matches the Rfam family "Archaeal small subunit ribosomal RNA", at positions 270 to 920 of the family's 1478-position model. The record is from RNAcentral.